RNAcentral lists this ribosomal RNA (960 nucleotides) under Burkholderia sp. BT03. Its description in RNAcentral is "bacterial SSU rRNA". It matches the Rfam family "Bacterial small subunit ribosomal RNA", at positions 8 to 964 of the family's 1533-position model. Lineage: Bacteria; Pseudomonadati; Pseudomonadota; Betaproteobacteria; Burkholderiales; Burkholderiaceae. The record is from RNAcentral.
AGAGUUUGAUCCUGGCUCAGAUUGAACGCUGGCGGCAUGCCUUACACAUGCAAGUCGAACGGCAGCACGGGAGCAAUCCUGGUGGCGAGUGGCGAACGGGUGAGUAAUACAUCGGAACGUGUCCUGGAGUGGGGGAUAGCCCGGCGAAAGCCGGAUUAAUACCGCAUACGAUCUCUGGAUGAAAGCGGGGGACCGAAAGGCCUCGCGCUCAAGGGGCGGCCGAUGGCAGAUUAGCUAGUUGGUGGGGUAAAGGCCUACCAAGGCGACGAUCUGUAGCUGGUCUGAGAGGACGACCAGCCACACUGGGACUGAGACACGGCCCAGACUCCUACGGGAGGCAGCAGUGGGGAAUUUUGGACAAUGGGGGCAACCCUGAUCCAGCAAUGCCGCGUGUGUGAAGAAGGCCUUCGGGUUGUAAAGCACUUUUGUCCGGAAAGAAAACUUCCUGGUUAAUACCUGGGGAGGAUGACGGUACCGGAAGAAUAAGCACCGGCUAACUACGUGCCAGCAGCCGCGGUAAUACGUAGGGUGCGAGCGUUAAUCGGAAUUACUGGGCGUAAAGCGUGCGCAGGCGGUUCGCUAAGACCGAUGUGAAAUCCCCGGGCUUAACCUGGGAACUGCAUUGGUGACUGGCGGGCUAGAGUAUGGCAGAGGGGGGUAGAAUUCCACGUGUAGCAGUGAAAUGCGUAGAGAUGUGGAGGAAUACCGAUGGCGAAGGCAGCCCCCUGGGCCAAUACUGACGCUCAUGCACGAAAGCGUGGGGAGCAAACAGGAUUAGAUACCCUGGUAGUCCACGCCCUAAACGAUGUCAACUAGUUGUCGGGUCUUCAUUGACUUGGUAACGAAGCUAACGCGUGAAGUUGACCGCCUGGGGAGUACGGUCGCAAGAUUAAAACUCAAAGGAAUUGACGGGGACCCGCACAAGCGGUGGAUGAUGUGGAUUAAUUCGAUGCAACGCGA